AGCGAACGCUGGCGGCAGGCCUAACACAUGCAAGUCGAACGGACCCUUCGGGUUUAGUGGCGGACGGGUGAGUAACACGUGGGAACGUGCCUUUAGGUUCGGGAUAGCUCCUGGAAACGGGUGGUAAUGCCGAAUGUGCCCUUCGGGGGAAAGAUUUAUCGCCUUUAGAGCGGCCCGCGUCUGAUUAGCUUGUUGGUGGGGUAAUGGCCCACCAAGGCUACGAUCAGUAGCUGGUCUGAGAGGAUGACCAGCCACAUUUGGACUGAGACACGGCCCAAACUCCUACGGGAGGCAGCAGUGGGGAAUCUUGCGCAAUGGGCGAAAGCCUGACGCAGCCAUGCCGCGUGUAUGAUGAAGGUCUUGGGAUUGUAAAAUACUUUCACCGGUGAAGAUAAUGACUGUAGCCGGAGAAGAAGCCCGGCUAACUUCGUGCCAGCAGCCGCGGUAAUACGAAGGGGGCUAGCGUUGCUCGGAAUUACUGGGUGUAAAGGGAGCGUAGGCGGACAUUUAAGUCGA
Molecule: ribosomal RNA, 516 nt
Filed under: uncultured bacterium
Lineage: Bacteria
Description: bacterial SSU rRNA
Rfam family: Bacterial small subunit ribosomal RNA
Source: RNAcentral